This 434-nucleotide ribosomal RNA is filed under the name uncultured Clostridium sp. Its description in RNAcentral is "partial 16S ribosomal RNA". It matches the Rfam family "Bacterial small subunit ribosomal RNA", at positions 341 to 792 of the family's 1533-position model. Lineage: Bacteria; Bacillati; Bacillota; Clostridia; Eubacteriales; Clostridiaceae. The record is from RNAcentral.
ACGGGAGGCAGCAGUGGGGAAUAUUGCACAAUGGGGGAAACCCUGAUGCAGCGACGCCGCGUGAGUGAAGAAGUAUUUCGGUAUGUAAAGCUCUAUCAGCAGGGAAGAUAAUGACGGUACCUGACUAAGAAGCCCCGGCUAACUACGUGCCAGCAGCCGCGGUAAUACGUAGGGGGCAAGCGUUAUCCGGAUUUACUGGGUGUAAAGGGAGCGUAGACGGUUUGGCAAGUCUGAAGUGAAAGCCCGGGGCUCAACCCCGGUAUUGCUUUGGAAACUGUUGAACUAGAGUGCCGGAGGGGUAAGCGGAAUUCCUAGUGUAGCGGUGAAAUGCGUAGAUAUUAGGAGGAACACCAGUGGCGAAGGCGGCUUGCUGGACGACAACUGACGCUGAGGCGCGAAAGCGUGGGGAGCAAACAGGAUUAGAUACCCUGGUA